This 1769-nucleotide long non-coding RNA is filed under the name Mytilus galloprovincialis (Mediterranean mussel). The record is from RNAcentral. Lineage: Eukaryota; Metazoa; Mollusca; Bivalvia; Mytilida; Mytilidae.
AAAAAAUAUUCCAUUUUUAUUUACAAAACAUUACAUUUAACAUAGACAAAAACUUAACAAUGUAAAUCUGAAAUGAAUAACAAAUACUGUCAAUCCCCCAUUACAAAUUUUAUCGUUGUAUAUUAUCAAUCUUUCAUUUAAAUAUUAGCGUUGUUUAAUAUACUAUUAAGUAACUUACAUUAACUGUUAGGUAAUAAUAUUCACAUAUCAAAAUAGAAUUUUUGAAAAAUAUAGAUACCCAUUGGUGACCUUCAGCUGGUGUCUGCUCUUUGGUCAGGUUGUUGUCUCUUUCACACAUUCCCCAUUUCCAUUUUCAAUUUUAUUAUUUGGGAUUUCACAUUUAAACCAAGUUAUCAAGCUCAAUUCUAUUUAUUUUACAUGAUUGGAUAAAAAAUCUGGAAUUUUUUUAGAAUUUCAACCACCAAAUCAUCUCUUAAUAAUCUAAUGAAAUUUUCUAAUAAGCUUCCAAAAAAAUCUUUUCUUUGUUGUUACUGUCGGGGGAAAUCUUUGAAUUUUCUGUUUUAAUUUUCAUUCAAACUUAAAUGAAAAUACAUAUUUAUGAAAAUUCCCAUACAUGGUCCCCAAAUUUCAAAUACUUGUAAAAAACGAUGAUAAAUUUAAUUAUGAUUCAAAAAUUCAUGUGGUUAAAUGUUACAGCACUCUUACUUUGUUAUAUCACUUUAAUUAGUGUGUUUACAUGAUCAAUCAAAGCACUGUAAGCACUGUAGGCAUUUAAUCAAAAACUAAGGCAAAAGUGAUGAUGAAAACUGUGGUAGUGUUGCUAAUUUUUGCAUAAUUAGUAUUUCAGGUCAUUGAAGAAGCUAGUCAUAUGAAAACAUUUUGUGUACACAUCAGUAUAUUAGAUAUGUCAUAGAUAUUAGAAUUAUCCUUUAACAUUUACCAUAUAUAACGACAAUAACUUUAAUAACACCAGCAAGAAAAUUUUUCAACCAAACUGCCAAUAUAAAAAAGAUGUGGUAUGAUUGCCAAUGAGACAACUAUCCACAAAAGACCAAAAUGACACAGACAUUAACAACUAUAGGUCACCGUACGGCCUUCAACAACGAACAAAGCCCAUACCACAUAGUCAGCUAUAAAAGGCCCCGAUAAGACAAUGUAAAACAAUUCAAACGAGAAAACUAACGGCCAUAUUUAUUUUAAAAAAUGAAGGUUUGUAUUGCACAAUAUACAGAUAAUUAGAAAUUAAACUUGAGGUGUAGGGAUGUUAUAUAAAAAAAAAACUAGUGAUGAAAAAUAUCCCUCAGUCAAAAAUUUACAAAAAAACUGGUUUUCAUUCAUAAACUUUCAAAUACCCUUCUUCUAUAUUAAACACCCUCAUAUCAUACAUUUAUAACAAACAGAAAUAUAAUGACAUAACACAUUUUACAUAUUCUUGUACCAGAACAAGUAUUCACAAAGUACUUUUAUGGGGCAUUCUAAAUGAAAACAGUUGAAAUGAACAUAGUACAAAAAUUAUAAGAAUAAGAAUAUUUAUUGAAUCCAAAUAGAUGAUAGAAUUGGAUUUAAUACAAUUGAAUUUAGUUUAUGAUAAAAUUAGUCCUGAAGACCACAAUUUGUACUGGAGAUAAGUUGUUUUUCAUUAAUUUUUUUUGUCUUUUAGAAGGAGAAGAUAUUUUUGUUCCUCGUCUUAUCACCAUGGAUACCUUAUAAUAAUAAAGUAGCUAUUUAAAAAUUAAAAUCAAAGCGCUUGACAGCACUGAACGGUAAAGAUUGCUUCAAUUCAUCAGUGGGAAGUAAAAUUAAAUAUG